This 115-nucleotide ribosomal RNA is filed under the name Rhodoferax sp. RNAcentral's name for it is "partial 16S ribosomal RNA". It matches the Rfam family "Bacterial small subunit ribosomal RNA", at positions 1 to 109 of the family's 1533-position model. Lineage: Bacteria; Pseudomonadati; Pseudomonadota; Betaproteobacteria; Burkholderiales; Comamonadaceae. The record is from RNAcentral.
AGAUCGAACUAUAGAGUUUGAUCCUGGCUCAGAUUGAACGCUGGCGGCAUGCCUUACACAUGCAAGUCGAACGGCAGCACGGGAGCAAUCCUGGUGGCGAGUGGCGAACGGGUGA